This 440-nucleotide ribosomal RNA is filed under the name uncultured bacterium. Its description in RNAcentral is "partial 16S ribosomal RNA". It matches the Rfam family "Bacterial small subunit ribosomal RNA", at positions 338 to 795 of the family's 1533-position model. The record is from RNAcentral.
CCUACGGGUGGCAGCAGUAGGGAAUCUUGCUCAAUGGGCGAAACCCUGAUGCAGCAACGCCGCGUGGGGGAUGAAGGUUUUCGGCUUGUAAACUCCUUUUGGUAGAGAAGAUAAUGACGGUAUCUAACGAAUAAUCACCGGCUAACUCCGUGCCAGCAGCCGCGGUAAUACGGAGGGUGCAAGCGUUACUCGGAAUCACGGGGCGUAAAGAGCGCGGAGGCGGGAUAGCAAGUCAGAUGUGAAAUCCUAUGGCUUAACCAUAGAACUGCAUUUGAAACUGUUAUUCUAGAGUAUAGGAGAGGUAGGUGGAAUUCUUGGUGUAGGGGUAGAAUCCGUAGAGAUAAAGAGGAAUACUCAUUGCGAAGGCGACCUGCUAGAACAUAACUGACGCUGAUGCGCGAAAGCGUGGGGAGCGAACAGGAUUAGAUACCCGGGUAGUC